UUGGUUGUGUGUGGAUUAUUUGGGGAUUUGAGAAGGAAGAAUGGAAAACAUAACAGCAAGUGAAUUGGCCGGGUUUGGAGUUGGAACUAUGCUGCUGUGUGCCACUAUUGCUGCUCCCAAGAUUGAUGCCCUCAUUUCAGCUUCCUAAAGGAGGUAAUGAAGCAUUGUUUAAUCUUACUAUCUCAAGAGUCAAAUUUAAAUUUUAUGGCCAUUAUUGCUGGUCCCUUGAUGAUUUAC
Molecule: long non-coding RNA, 237 nt
Organism: Telopea speciosissima
Lineage: Eukaryota; Viridiplantae; Streptophyta; Magnoliopsida; Proteales; Proteaceae
Exons: 3
Source: RefSeq, a predicted model, not a curated record